RNAcentral lists this ribosomal RNA (433 nucleotides) under uncultured bacterium. RNAcentral describes it as "partial 16S ribosomal RNA". It matches the Rfam family "Bacterial small subunit ribosomal RNA", at positions 29 to 507 of the family's 1533-position model. The record is from RNAcentral.
AACGAACGCUGGCGGCAUGCCUAACACAUGCAAGUCGAACGAGACCUUCGGGUCUAGUGGCGCACGGGUGCGUAACGCGUGGGAACCUGCCCUUAGGUUCGGAAUAACUCCCCGAAAGGGGUGCUAAUACCGGAUAAUGUCUUCGGACCAAAGAUUUAUCGCCUUUGGAUGGGCCCGCGUUGGAUUAGCUAGUUGGUGGGGUAAAAGCCUACCAAGGCGACGAUCCAUAGCUGGUCUGAGAGGAUGAUCAGCCACACUGGGACUGAGACACGGCCCAGACUCCUACGGGAGGCAGCAGUGGGGAAUAUUGGACAAUGGGCGAAAGCAUGAUCCAGCAAUGCCGCGUGAGUGAUGAAGGCCUUAGGGUUGUAAAGCUCUUUUACCCGGGAUGAUAAUGACAGUACCGGGAGAAUAAGCUCCGGCUAACUCCGUG